RNAcentral lists this ribosomal RNA (305 nucleotides) under uncultured bacterium. Its description in RNAcentral is "bacterial SSU rRNA". It matches the Rfam family "Bacterial small subunit ribosomal RNA", at positions 333 to 635 of the family's 1533-position model. The record is from RNAcentral.
UUAUGCCUACGGGGGGCAGCAGUAGGGAAUUUUCGUCAAUGGGGGGAACCCUGAACGAGCAAUGCCGCGUGAGUGAAUAAGGCCCUACGGGUCGUAAACCUCUUUUGCCGGGGAGCAAGGGCGGGGACGUGUCCCGGCCCGGAGAGUACCCGGAGAAAAAGCAUCGGCUAACUCCGUGCCAGCAGCCGCGGUAAUACGGAGGAUGCGAGCGUUAUCCGGAUUUAUUGGGUUUAAAGGGUGCGUAGGCGGGCUUUUAAGUCAGCGGUAAAAAUUCGGGGCUCAACCCCGUCCGGCCGUUGCAACUG